Cyprinus carpio carpio is the source of this 864-nucleotide long non-coding RNA. NCBI's taxonomy places the organism in Eukaryota, Metazoa, Chordata, Actinopteri, Cypriniformes, Cyprinidae. The record is from Ensembl.
GUUCUUACCCCUCCCCAGAGAUUUACAUCAGACAAAGCAUGAAGUUGUUUCGAGCCGUUUAUUCCCACUUCAGGUGCUUCGCUGAUGCGCGCGCUAAUUUUCUGAGAGAUUUACAUCAGACGAAGCCCGGUGUUGUUUCAAGCCGUUUCUUCUCGCUUCAGCGGCCUUUAGUCAGCGCGCGGUCACAGCGUCCAGAGAUAUUUAUAUCAGAAGAAAGUUUAGAUAGCAAAUGUUGCCGUUCUUUUGGAAAACUGCUGGUCUUUAAAGAACAGUCAUUAAUCAGGAUCCUCUGUUCCCAGACCCAACCAUUCAUCUGAAGGACUGUGAAAAUAUGAACCCUUUGAACCACCGGUGACAGUUUCCACAUGAUAAAUAGAAAGGACAUGGCAGAGGAUGAUAGGGGUGUUGAUAUUUCACUGAAAUUAAACAUCAUUUAAUUACAUUUAGUCUGCUAGUCAGAAUUAUAGCUGAUUAAAUAAAAAUAAAUAGUGGUUCAUGUUUGUUUUGGGAUAGUGGUUCAUGAGUGCUUUGUCCUGAACAGUUUAAAUGGCCGCUUUUCUUCAGAAAAAUCCUCCAGAUCCUUCACUUUCUCAGGUUUUCCAGCAUCUUUUGCAUAUUUGAACUCUUUCCAGCAAUGAAUGUAUGAUUUCAGAUCCAUUUUUUACACUGAGGACAAUUGAGGGACUCAUACACAACUAUUUCAAAAGGUAAACGCAUUUAUUGAUUUUCAAGAAAUUCAUUUUUUCUGAAAAUCAGUGUUAAAAAGUAUGUAGCUUCAGAAGGGCAGUACUAAAUUAACAGAUAUGAUCUUUAAACAAAACAAGAAAAAUUUACUUAUCAUCCUGUUCAAAAUGUACACCCCCC